This 581-nucleotide ribosomal RNA is filed under the name uncultured bacterium. RNAcentral's name for it is "bacterial SSU rRNA". It matches the Rfam family "Bacterial small subunit ribosomal RNA", at positions 331 to 929 of the family's 1533-position model. The record is from RNAcentral.
CCAGACUCCUACGGGAGGCAGCAGUGGGGAAUAUUGGACAAUGGACCGAGAGUCUGAUCCAGCAAUUCUGUGUGCACGAUGACGUUUUUCGGAAUGUAAAGUGCUUUCAGUUGGGAAGAAAAAAAUGACGGUACCAACAGAAGAAGUGACGGCUAAAUACGUGCCAGCAGCCGCGGUAAUACGUAUGUCACAAGCGUUAUCCGGAUUUAUUGGGCGUAAAGCGCGUCUAGGUGGUUAUGUAAGUCUGAUGUGAAAAUGCAGGGCUCAACUCUGUAUUGCGUUGGAAACUGUAUAACUAGAGUACUGGAGAGGUAAGCGGAACUACAAGUGUAGAGGUGAAAUUCGUAGAUAUUUGUAGGAAUGCCGAUGGGGAAGCCAGCUUACUGGACAGAUACUGACGCUGAAGCGCGAAAGCGUGGGUAGCAAACAGGAUUAGAUACCCUGGUAGUCCACGCCGUAAACGAUGAUUACUAGGUGUUGGGGGUCGAACCUCAGCGCCCAAGCAAACGCGAUAAGUAAUCCGCCUGGGGAGUACGUACGCAAGUAUGAAACUCAAAGGAAUUGACGGGGGCCCGCACAAG